GACAAUCAGACCCGCUUCAUUCUGUCCGCCUUUGCCUAGGACCCCGGUUCUGAGGUCGCCCGGUACGACCUCAAGCCCCCGCAGCGACCGGGCUGCCUACAGAGAUUCCCUGGAAAUGGCCUAACUCUUGGAGGCAGCGCUAACGGAGACCUAAGGGCCUAGGCCAGGCCGAAAGCCAAGGCGGAGCCCGGGACGCCCUUGGAGGUUAAUCCGCUGGAUACGAAGGGCUGCGAGAAGCUGAGAGACGGCAAUGAGGUGGGGCAUGGGAGGACGGCGGGGUGACCUUUCCCACUCGGCUCCCCGGACCCGAGCCAGUUCCUAGAGGACCUCUGCGGGACCCUUCGCCCGUCCCACGAAGCCCCGCAGAAACCCGCUACUCACCCCCCCAGCAGAAGAGCGGCCGCAAGAGGCCCUAGCAGCCUCAUACAGGAAGGAAACGCCGCCUGGGAAAGAACGCUUCCGGGGGGAGUCGCGGCCCGCCCCCUCGCAAGGAGCAUGCGCCACCGCGGUCGAAGGCUUGGAGGGGCGCGUUUCCGGGUUUUGGAAGUGGUGCGGGGUACUCGGCGGGAGCGAGGUCACGCUCCAGAUUCCUAACCUGCUAUCUGCUGGGCGGAGCCUCUGAGUUUAGCUGAGCCUCGGAGAUGGAAUUGGGGCAGGCGCUUGUCACAUAAAGUCCGUGCCCUGCUCGCGGGCUCCUGUCGCAACACUGACAAACCCGGGAGCCUUCGUGAGAAUGCAAAAAUGAGAGAUGAGGCACCAGAGGUCCCCAGGGCGCAAAUCUGAAAGCCAGCGCCUCCUGAGCACAGGCUGCCAGGGGCGAGACGACAUUAGACAUUGCCCCCAGAUAUAAGAAGCAUCACUUCCUUCAGACAGAGCAGAUUGAUAGAUGAAGCAUAAAACAAGACCAGAUGCUGUGGUUUCCAGGAUGCACUUGGCUUCCCAUCCUUUAUUACCUGGAGCAUUUUUUGCCGUCUGUUCCUGAUGUGUCCACCGGAGACCAGUCCCAUUAGGUAUCCAUAAGGUUUAAGACCAUGGACAUUGCAACCCAACAGACUUGGCUUUAGAUGUAAGAUCUGUUAUUUACUAGCUCUGUGACUUUGGGCAAGUUAUUAAGCUCUGUAAGCCUCAAGUUCCUCACCUUUAAUGCAGGGACAAAAGCGGUACUCACACCAUGGAGUUGCACUGAGAAUUAAAUGAGACAGUGCAUGGCAAGUGCUGAGCUCUAUGCCUGGCACUUAGCAAGUGCUCAAUAAACAUGCCAUUGUAAUACCUCAGAUGUUAUUUUCAUUAUACUAUGAAGUGAUAUUCUGUCAUUUCCAGAAGCCCUGUAUGGACAAAGAUUCCUUCAUAUCUCCUUAGUGUUUGCAUGAGGACUUCACCUCUCAAGUUGUCAACUGUGGCAUCUUGUCUGGGAAUGUUUAUCUUCUCUGACUUGUGAAGAGGCUAUGCCUCUGUCUCUUUGAACUCUUAGUUCUCUCAUUCUCAGUUUUAAUACACUCCUCUGAGUGAGUCUUACUGAUUAGUAUUCUAUAAACCAUUAGUGAUAGUUAUAUAAAACCUGUAAGAUUCCAUCCUUGUGACCCCCCCCAGACAAAUAAGUUUAAAAUAUUGGUCAAUCCAUGAAAACGACUAUCUGGAUAUUUCUCAGUUCACUGAAGACCAUCAUUAAUAUUGGCUGUUGUUCCCAUUCUGUCUAAUAACAGCCAUUUAUUGAGCUUACAGUUCUUGCUCUCAUGGAGUUCUGAAGACUCAAAUGUCUUGUGAAAAUGCAAGUCUUCAUAGAACUAUUGUUUUUUUUAAGGUAGAGGUUUAACCUACCUUUCAUCUCCAUUCAUUAUUUGUUUUGGGAAAACUUCCUUACUUAGAUUGCCGAGUGACUUUUGCACAGAAGAAAGAAAUUAGUUCAACGGAUGAAAGUAAUUAGUUCAAUGGAUGAAAGUGAGAUGCUAAACCAGAUUUGAGAUUUUAGAGGUCAAUCCUUUGCAUGUCUUAUAAUUUCUUUGCAAACUACAACCUUUUUGUAACCCUUGAGGACUAUCUUAACAUCAGAGCUGCUAUUCUUCAUACAAUAUUUAAUUCCUUUGAACAUAACAUGUUUUUAAAAAAAUAUUUACUAUGUGCAACUCGUGGAAAUGCUCCUAAAAUUGAGGGAGUUCUACUGAGCAAAAGAAAUGGAAUAUCCUGUAUAGAGACUGAGUGCAUGGCUUCCAAAGGCAAAGGCAAGGGCAGAACUUGCUAAUGUUAGAUGUUUAGGGAUGAAAUGUCUACUAGACCUUGUUUCUUCUUAGAGAGACCCAACAGUAGCGUACUAGCAAGCUACUGUUAAAUUUGCCCUCCCCACCUGUUUAUUGCCAGCAUUUCUGGAAACAGAAAAACAAAACAAAGGGGUAAGGAAAAAAAAAAGCAAAGUCUGCAUGUAACUUGAGUUAGAGAAGUGCAGGAAACAAAUCAAGUAUACUAAGUUAGCAGUGCUUAAAGUCCCAUUCAACUUCAGAAUAGUAUACCUGGUAGAGUUCCACAAACCUUUCUCCUUUCUAGCCUGCUGCUUAUUAAGUUUAAAUGCCAGAACCAUUCUGAGAGCUCUGAAUGCCCAUAUGAGGCCUAGAGCCAGAGACAUGCCCCACACCCAUUUCUUUAUAUUUUCUGAAUUCCCAGGUAAACGAGAGAUCAGAAAAAGGGACAGUAAAGGAAAGGAGACAAAGAGGUCAACUCCCCAACAGUGUCUUCUUCCCCUUUGGUGUUUUGCAAAAAGCUGAAGAGAUGCUAUAAUGAUUCUUUAACCAACUGAAAGCAGCGUUAGAAUUCUGUCUAGAUAUUCUUGAACCUCUGGCUGGGCAGUGUUCCACCUUCCACACUCCAGUCCAUCCAUCAUUCAAUACUACUUAUGCUAGAUAAACUGGCUUGCCAUAGUUUAUUAUCAUGUUGUCCUCACAGACUAGUAUUCAAGGAGCCUCCCCUGACCACUUUCUUGGGACUCUUGGAAGUAAACAGAGAAACAGUUUAAAUGAAUGGUAAAAACCCAUGUAGGGCUUCCCUGGUGGUGCAGUGGUUGAGAGUCUGCCUGCCGAUGCAGAGGACACGGGUUCGUGCCCCGGUCCGGGAGGAUCCCA
Molecule: non-coding RNA, 3110 nt
Organism: Delphinapterus leucas (beluga whale)
Lineage: Eukaryota; Metazoa; Chordata; Mammalia; Artiodactyla; Monodontidae
Source: RefSeq, a predicted model, not a curated record